UACGGGGGGGGCAAGCGUUGUUCGGAAUUACUGGGCGUAAAGGGCUCGUAGGCGGCCAACUCAGUCGGACGUGAAAUCCCUCGGCUUAACCGGGGAACGGCGUCCGAUACUGGAUGGCUUGAAUCCGAGAGAGGGAUGCGGAAUUCCUGGUGUAGCGGUGAAAUGCGUAGAUAUCAGGAGGAACACCGGUGGCGCAAGCGGCUUCCUGGCCUAAAACUGACGCUGAGAUACGAAAGUGUGGGGAGCGAACGGG
Molecule: ribosomal RNA, 253 nt
Filed under: uncultured bacterium
Lineage: Bacteria
Description: partial 16S ribosomal RNA
Rfam family: Bacterial small subunit ribosomal RNA
Source: RNAcentral